AAGGCUCAGUAUAACAGCUAUUAUUUAUUUGAUCGUAAACAUAGUUACUUGGAUAACUGUGGUAAUUCCAGAGCUAAUACAUGCAAACAACAUGGAUCCCUGUAGCAAUAUGGGUGAAACAUGUGCUUUUAUUAGAUUAAAACCAUGUCCAUCUUUGAUGGAUUUGUUUUAGAUGAAUCUGGAUAAUUAUGGCUGAUCGUAUGGUCUUGCACCGACGAUAGAUCAUUCAAAUGUCUGCCCUAUCAACUAUUGAUGGUAGUAUAGAGGACUACCAUGGUUGCAACGGGUAACGGGGAAUCAGGGUUCGA
RNAcentral lists this ribosomal RNA (308 nucleotides) under Sergentomyia vanella. RNAcentral describes it as "SSU rRNA". It matches the Rfam family "Eukaryotic small subunit ribosomal RNA", at positions 93 to 380 of the family's 1831-position model. Lineage: Eukaryota; Metazoa; Arthropoda; Insecta; Diptera; Psychodidae. RNAcentral also lists the same sequence under 1 other name. The record is from RNAcentral.